This 397-nucleotide ribosomal RNA is filed under the name uncultured bacterium. RNAcentral's name for it is "bacterial SSU rRNA". It matches the Rfam family "Bacterial small subunit ribosomal RNA", at positions 30 to 428 of the family's 1533-position model. The record is from RNAcentral.
AUUGAACGCUGGCGGCAUGCCUUACACAUGCAAGUCGAACGGCAGCACGGGGGCAACCCUGGUGGCGAGUGGCGAACGGGUGAGUAACAUAUCGGAACAUACCCUAGAGUGGGGGAUAACGUAGCGAAAGUUACGCUAAUACCGCAUACGAUCUAAGGAUGAAAGUGGGGGAUCUUCGGACCUCAUGCUCAUGGAGUGGCCGAUAUCUGAUUAGCUAGUUGGUGAGGUAAAGGCUCACCAAGGCGACGAUCAGUAGCUGGUUUGAGAGAACGACCAGCCACACUGGAACUGAGACACGGUCCAGACUCCUACGGAGGCAGCAGUGGGGAAUUUUGGGACAAUGGGGGCAACCCUGAUCCAGCAAUGCCGCGUGAGUGAAGAAGGCCUCGGGUUGUAA